CAUUUGGGUUACUUGUUUGGUCUUUUGUGAGUAAUUUCUACAAUAAAUACUUAUUUUUACUUUCAGUAAGUGUGCCAUUUAUCGUUGUAGCAUCAGAGGACUUACCCUCUCUUUGGAGCAGAUGAAAGGAGAAGGAGUGGGGGGAAUGGGAGGAGAAGAGGGAGGAGGAACUUGGAUUGGAAUAUAAAAAUUAAAUUAAUAAAAUAAAAGCUGAGUAGGAUCAAAGUUUGAGGCCAGCAUGAACUCCAUGAGAUCCUGUCUCAAUGAAGAACAAGAAAACACAUUGCAGGGUUUCGCAGCACAUAGUGUGCUUUGGAUAUUUGUUUAAAUCCUUUAAGUUACAUAGUAGAUCUAUAACUUUUUGUGCUUAAGAUAGCCAAAAAAACUUAAGCAACUCAUGACUACAGUCUUCAUGUCUUUGUCUUUUAUUAUAUUUUGUUUAUUUCCAGGACAUCCUGUGGAAGUAGGCUUUUUCCUUCCACCAUGUGUGUCCCAGGGAUUUAACCCAGGAGACCUCCUUCUUUUGAAGUUAUUGCCUCAGUGUGUGCAACUUGUCACACAGAAUCUACUGGAUUUGGUGUGAAAUCUAGUAAAAUACAUCUGGAUUCAGAUUUGGACUUCUAAAUGUGAAUUUCAAUUUCCUUGUGUGUAAAAUGGGAUCAGCUACUAAUUUCACAGGUUACAGUAAAAGCUAAAUCAAUAUUGGCAUGUGGGUAAUGUACAAUAUGCAUGAGGAACUCCCUCUGUGUGUGUGUAUGUGUGUGUGUAUGCACGCACGCGUGCAUGUGUGUGUUGUAUUAGUGUUUCAUAGAGCAAUUAAUACAGAAUAAAUGGAAAUGUUAUGACAUUGGCUGAGGAAAGCUGUUAAUAUGUUGUGUUUGGAAAAUAUUAAAUGCAGUUUGACUUGCAUUAAGGAGGCUGUGAAUACCGGAAAGCAACAAACACUGCUUUUACCAUGUCUGCAUUUUAUAUGCUAGCCUAAGGCUCACAACAUGGAACUUGGUUAAUAAUUUAUUCAACUGAAGGUGUAUAAGCUCAGCUCAGAGAAAAAGCAAAAGCCUGAAUGCUAAAACCCCUUGCCUGCAAGACAUAAACAAUAUCUACCCUACUCUGAAAGAUCCCAAAACAAACUGAGGUAUGAUUCUUCCAAAGUCUAUCCAUAGGAACAAAUGAGUUCAUUAUGCUUAUCCACAGUCCUAAAGGCAAAAGUAUGGGUAUGGUUUGAAUUUAAUUGGUCCCCAUAAGCUCACAGGGAGUGGCAUUAUUAGGAGGUGUGGCCUUGAUAGACAGAGCAUGUCACUGUGGGAAUGGGCUUUGAGGUCGCUUUUGAUGUCUGUAGCUCCUGAUACCAUUGAAAUCAAUGCCAAUGCAAAAGGUCUGGGCUACUACUGGGGCUCAUGUUGGUGUCCAAGGGCCAAUCUGCUGAGGGGCCAUUGUGAUCUGAGUUGCCUGCACUGCCACCAUAGGCCAUGGUGACAUCCAGGCCCAAGUUGCUGCUGAGGGCUGUGUUCCUGCUGGGUUCUAUGAUGAUAUCUAUGCCCUUGUAGCCACAGGGUGGGUAAUAGGAGCCAUUUGUGCUGAAUUCUGAGGCCUAUGCUGAGCCUGCCCUUACUCCUCACUGGCCUUGGGAUAGCUGGCCCUGAUCCUCACUGAACACUGCAGCAGGAGAAAGAUGGCCCCACCCCUCACCACAGGAAUGGGACAGCUGGCCCUAAUGGCAUGGGCCUAGGAGAGAUGUCUCUGCCCCUUUCCUGAGGGGGCAGUCCCAGUUGCCCUGACCUACCAGCUCAGCUAUCACUCAGACCCACAUUCUCGGGUUUGAAUUGGCCCACCUAACAUCUACCCCAUCUAUGAUCUGUUGGAGUUUUUGAAGGGAUCGGUUCUACAGAAUGAUAAUUUCAGGAUCUCUAGGACUUGGGGCAACAGCAGAAUAUCUAAGAGGAGUUUUUGUGAGGGUUCAGUGAUGAUGGCAUGCCAGAGGCCUUGAAACAGACGAAUGACUCAUUGAAAUGAACGUCUUGUGGGUGGUACUGAUUGGACAACAGAGUACAUUGUGUGACACACUGUGGCUCCCAAUGACACUAGGAUGAAUGAAGAGGAGCUGGAGAGAUGGAGUAGUGAGGUGUGGCUCAUUCAUUUGUUUUGUUUCUAAUUAAUUGGGGGGGCAUGCUGCAGGGGUAAGGGAAGGCUAUGGAGGGACUGGAAAGUGAGUGGAAUUAGGAUGCAUGAUGUGAAAUUCCCAAAGAAUCUAUAAAUAAUUAUGUUAAAAAUUAAUCUUACAUUCUUUAAAAACUAAAAUAAAAAUCAUAUGAACACCAUAAGGGGAGGGAGUAACAUUAAAGCAACCACACAGGAAGGUCUCCUCUCAUCAGGAAUGUUGGUUCCCUUCAUCCUCUGGUCCCUUCCCCAAUGCCACAUGAAAUAGGACAGAAUUACAUACAACUGUUUAGGAAAGUGACUCAGGUGAGGGUCCCAUCUUCCUCCCUGCCCCCUCUUUCUAUGAGGAAAAGUAAAUAGUGAGUAGGCUUAGCUGUGACUGUUUUAUGAGCAGAUUCAGCAUCAGGGAAGAUGGCAGCUGUUUGGCUUGUAACCCUGUAGAGCAGUUCUUCAACAGAAAACAAAGAACCUUCUCAUGGAUGGAGACACUGCCUGUCAGUGUCCAUCGACUACUUGUUUUUUUUGUUUGUUUGUUUGUUUGUUUGUUUUUUGUUUUUUUCAAGACAGGGCUUCUCUGUAUUGUUUUGGAGGCUGUCCUGGAACUCGCUCGGUAGACCAGGCUGGCCUCAAACUCACAGAGAUCCGCCUGCCUCUGCCUCCCGAGUGCUGGGAUUAAAGGCGUGCACUACCAACGCCUGGCUACUUGUUGUUUUAUACCAGCUAUAUGCAAGGAGCAAUGAGCGCCCUUGCAUGACAAAGGGCGACCAAUGUUGGCUUGUCUAAGUGUCCUUCCACCUACACACAGCAGCCCAGACCUGUUCAGGCAGUGAAUCCUGAGCGCUAAGCACUGCCCAGGCUGCUUGCCAAAGGCCCAGCCUGACUCUAGUGUGGGGCUUAAGAAAAUCUAUGUGAAAUCCGUCACCCAGCUUCUACAAGUUUAUUCAUCCACUAAAGCAUGGAAGAAAGGAAAACUAAUUUUGAUCAAUUGUAAGUCCUAGGUAGCAAUGAAGGAUUUAAAUAAAGCAAUUGCUUGCUUUCUAAACUACAAAACAAACAAACAAAAACAUGAGGGUUAAGGGUUGACCAUGAUUUUUAAGAAAAUUAUUAAAUUUAUUGAUUGAUUAAUUCAUUGAUUGGUUGAUUGUUGGGGAGGCUGCUGAGGUAUUCAUGUGGUAAUCAGGAAAAUGCACAGGAACUAGUUCCCUCAUUCAAGCACAUAGGCCCUGGGUCAUCAGGCUUGGCAGUGUGCAUCUUUACUAAGCCAUUUUGUUGGCCCUUCCUGCUCUUUUCUUUUACUUUGCCGCCUCCAACAAUCUCAUUUGCUAAAUAACUCUUCAAUCCACACUCUUCUUUGCGUCUACAUUGCAAGUACUAGUCCAAGGAGGUAUCAUCGUUUGUCAGUUUCCUUACAUUUAUUCUGACCCUCCUUCUCAUCAGAGAUCCUCCAAAAGGCAGACUUUGUCCUGCCCCCACCACCACUCCACCCUUGCUGCCUAAACACCUUGGUUGGUUUCUUUUUGUUCCCAUGAUUAAGAUCAAAACACAUAGCAUGUCUGUGAUAGUUAAUCAACUUUAUAGGACCUAGAAUUACUCUGAAAGCAAAUCUCUGGCAUGUCUGUGAGGAAUUUCUAGACUGAGUUAAGUGAAGGGAAAGGGACCCAUGCUAAAUGUAGGUAGCACCAUUCCUUGGCCUGGAGUCUCAGACUACACAGAAAGGAGAAAGGGAGGUAAAGGCAGCAUUCACUUCCCUCCACUUCCUGGCUGUGAUCUCAGUGUGAAAGCAGCCUUGCUAUAUUCUUGAACUGCUGCAGCUGUCCCUUGGGGGCCAUGAUAAACUGUAUCCUUUCUUAAACUAUAGGCCAAAAUAAAGCCUCCCACACCUAGAUUGCUACUUCUCAGGCUUUUGACCACAGCAACAAGAAAAGUAACUAACACAAUGGCUUAAAAGGCAGAAUGUUCUCAAUUACUACAGUGUGCUCUUAGUUACCAACAAUAUAAAUUGAUUCUAGCUGAUUUAAACAGCAAAGUAAUACACUGAAUAAAAAAGAGAUUUCCUAGGACCAAUGAGAUAGGUAGUUCAGUCUUAAAGCCAUUUGCUGACAAGACUCACAGUGCCAGCCACAAAAUGAGAGAAAAGAAGCCGCUCCUACAAGUUGUCCUAUGACCUCCAUGCACAUAUUCACACAUGUACACAGACAACACACUCACACACAAAAUAAAUAAAAUGUAAGAGAGAGAGAGAUUACCAGUAUGAAUAAGUGACCCAACUAAGACAACUGGAGCCAGGCUGAGGAAAUGGUUGCCACAGCAUGCCUUGCAAACACACUGGAAACAUCUGCAGAUGCCACUGCCACACCCUUCAAGAGCAGAAGAGAGCUUACUAUGUAUUUCUGGCUGAAGGCCCAGACAUUAAUCAGGGACACUGGGUUGACUGAAGCCAAGCCAGGUGCCCACACUUCACUAUCUGCCCACUGGGUGGCUGCAAUAAGGCUGCUGGCCUUCAAUCAAGAAUCAAAGUGAGGAGUUUCCCAAACACAGGAGGUGUCUGAAAUGCUGAGCAGCACUCCUCCCCAGAAGGAAGACACAAAUAGAAGUGGGGAGGCCAAGUUCCUUAUCCUAGGACCCACGACUUUGCGUUAGCCCCCAGCUCUAUUCCAUUCUUCCUUCGCCCAUCCCCACAUUCCAGCUGCCCUUUUCUCAAGCACUUUCCCUACAUGAAAGGCCCUUUCUGCUGCCCAAAAUAUUGCUUUUACCUCCAGUAGCCCUCUCCACUUCUUGUCUGAGCCAAUAUCAGAGUACUGUCAGAAAGGAUGGCACAGGCAUGGGUGAGUUCAGUGAAGGAACAUUCAUUGAUGGAAGAACCAGGCAUCCUGAGCUAGGAGGAGUAAGAAGAUGACUGGGGCCCCAAAGGAUAUUGCCAUUAAAAGAAAAGAAAUCAGUAGAACCUUCGAUCAGAAAGAAAAGAACCUGGUUUCUCUUUGUCUACCUGCCCCUUGUCUCCUGAUGCAUGUCUCUUUUGUCAAACUCAGUAUGAAGCUACAGGAGCAAGGCAAUAUUAAGAAAAUGGUGGGUGAUUCCGAAAACUCUAAUAAAAAUGAACCUGUAA
Mesocricetus auratus (golden hamster) is the source of this 5263-nucleotide long non-coding RNA. RefSeq lists it as uncharacterized. The record is from RefSeq and is a predicted model, not a curated record. NCBI's taxonomy places the organism in Eukaryota, Metazoa, Chordata, Mammalia, Rodentia, Cricetidae. The transcript has 2 exons.